CCUACGGGUGGCAGCAGUGAGGAAUAUUGGUCAAUGGACGCAAGUCUGAACCAGCCAUGCCGCGUGCAGGAUGACGGCCCUCUGGGUUGUAAACUGCUUUUGUUCGGGGAUAAAGUCCGGUAUGCAUACCGUUCUGUACGUAUCAUACGAAUAAGGAUCGGCUAACUCCGUGCCAGCAGCCGCGGUAAUACGGAGGAUUCAAGCGUUAUCCGGAUUUAUUGGGUUUAAAGGGUGCGUAGGCGGACGGUUAAGUUAGUGGUGAAAGCCUGAGGCUCAACUUUGGAAUUGCAGUUGAUACUGUGUGGCUAGAGAGUAGUAGAGGUAGGCGGAAUGCAUGGUGUAGCGGUGAAAUGCUUAGAGAUCACAAAGAACUCCGAUUGCGAAGGCAGCUUACUAAGCU
This 400-nucleotide ribosomal RNA is filed under the name uncultured bacterium. RNAcentral's name for it is "partial 16S ribosomal RNA". It matches the Rfam family "Bacterial small subunit ribosomal RNA", at positions 338 to 735 of the family's 1533-position model. The record is from RNAcentral.